GGCCGGCUAGAUAGGACAAUUCUUCCUAAGAUUUGUUCUCCAGGGCGCCCAAAACAUAUUUCCUGAGCUCCGAGGUUACCAGGAUGGCGGGCCCCCCCAGCGUUGAGCAUUGUUUUAUUCGAACAACGCGAAGACCUUACCCAAUUUGACAUCCCACUGACAAAGUUGUAAUGUACUCUCUCGGGACAGUGUGACAGUGGUGCAUGGUGUCGUCAGCUCGUGUCGUGAGAUGUGGGUUAAGUCCCGCAACGAGCGCAACCCUUGUCCUUAGUAGCCAGCAUUUCGGAUGGGCACUCUAGGGAGACUGCCCGGGUGAACCGGGAGGAAGGUGGGGAUGACGUCAAAUCAUCAUGCCCCUUAUGUCCUGGGCUACACACGUACUACAAUGGCCAAUACAGAGGGAAGCGAAGCUGCGAAGUGGAGCGAAACCCAGAAAGAUGGUCUCAGUUCGGAUUGUAGGCUGAAACUCAAAAUAAAAUGAAAAAUGGAAUUGCUAGUAAUGGCAGGUCAGCAUACUGCCGUGAAUACGUUCCCGGGCCUUGUACACACCGCCCGUCACACCAUGAGAGUCUGUAACACCCGAAGUCAGUAGCAUAACCUGAAAAGGAGUGCGCUGCCGAAGGUGGGGCAGGUGAUUGGGGUGAAGUCGUAACAAGGUAGCCGUAUCGGAAGGUGC
RNAcentral lists this ribosomal RNA (676 nucleotides) under uncultured bacterium. Its description in RNAcentral is "bacterial SSU rRNA". It matches the Rfam family "Bacterial small subunit ribosomal RNA", at positions 867 to 1515 of the family's 1533-position model. The record is from RNAcentral.